This 533-nucleotide ribosomal RNA is filed under the name uncultured eukaryote. RNAcentral describes it as "SSU rRNA". It matches the Rfam family "Eukaryotic small subunit ribosomal RNA", at positions 589 to 1142 of the family's 1831-position model. The record is from RNAcentral.
CUCCAAUAGCGUAUAUUUAAGUUGUUGCAGUUAAAAAGCUCGUAGUCGGAUUUUGGCUGAGAACGGUCGGUCCGCCGUUAGGUGUGCACUGACUGGUCUCAGCUUCCUGGUGAGGAGGUGUGCUUCAUCGCCACUUAGUCACCGUGGUUACUUUGAAAAAAUUAGAGUGUUCAAAGCGGGCUUACGCUUGAAUAUAUUAGCAUGGAAUAACACCAUAGGACUCCUGUCCUAUUUCGUUGGUCUCGGGACGGGAGUAAUGAUUAAGAGGAACAGUUGGGGGCAUUCGUAUUUCAUUGUCAGAGGUGAAAUUCUUGGAUUUAUGAAAGACGAACUUCUGCGAAAGCAUUUGCCAAGGAUGUUUUCAUUGAUCAAGAACGAAAGUUGGGGGCUCGAAGAUGAUUAGAUACCAUCCUAGUCUCAACCAUAAACGAUGCCGACUAGGGAUUGGCGGAUGUUAAUUGAUGACUUCGCCAGCACCUUAUGAGAAAUCAAAGUUUUUGGGUUCCGGGGGGAGUAUGGUCGCAAGGCUGAAA